UAGGGAAUCUUCGGCAAUGGACGAAAGUCUGACCGAGCAACGCCGCGUGAGUGAAGAAGGUCUUCGGAUCGUAAAACUCUGUUGUUAGAGAAGAACAAGGACGUUAGUAACUGAACGUCCCCUGACGGUAUCUAACCAGAAAGCCACGGCUAACUACGUGCCAGCAGCCGCGGUAAUACGUAGGUGGCAAGCGUUGUCCGGAUUUAUUGGGCGUAAAGCGAGCGCAGGCGGUUUCUUAAGUCUGAUGUGAAAGCCCCCGGCUCAACCGGGGAGGGUCAUUGGAAACUGGAAGACUUGAGUGCAGAAGAGGAGAGUGGAAUUCCAGGUGUAGCGGUGAAAUGCGUAGAUAUAUGGAGGAACACCAGUGGCGAAGGCGGCUCUCUGGUCUGUAACUGACGCUGAGGCUCGAAAGCGUGGGGAGCAAACAGG
This 429-nucleotide ribosomal RNA is filed under the name Gemmatimonadota bacterium. Its description in RNAcentral is "Gemmatimonadetes bacterium partial 16S ribosomal RNA". It matches the Rfam family "Bacterial small subunit ribosomal RNA", at positions 355 to 776 of the family's 1533-position model. The record is from RNAcentral. Lineage: Bacteria; Pseudomonadati; Gemmatimonadota.